This 74-nucleotide transfer RNA is filed under the name Trichonephila inaurata madagascariensis. It matches the Rfam family "tRNA". Rfam says of the family: Transfer RNA (tRNA) molecules are approximately 80 nucleotides in length. Their secondary structure includes four short double-helical elements and three loops (D, anti-codon, and T loops). Further hydrogen bonds mediate the characteristic L-shaped molecular structure. tRNAs have two regions of fundamental functional importance: the anti-codon, which is responsible for specific mRNA codon recognition, and the 3' end, to which the tRNAs corresponding amino acid is attached (by aminoacyl-tRNA synthetases). tRNAs cope with the degeneracy of the genetic code in two manners: having more than one tRNA (with a specific anti-codon) for a particular amino acid; and 'wobble' base-pairing, i.e. permitting non-standard base-pairing at the 3rd anti-codon position. The record is from Rfam by way of RNAcentral. Lineage: Eukaryota; Metazoa; Arthropoda; Arachnida; Araneae; Nephilidae.
CGCCCGUUAGCUCAGUUGGUUAGAGCGUCGUGCUAAUAACGCGAAGGUCGCGGGUUCGAUCCCCUCACGGGCCA